Molecule: ribosomal RNA, 465 nt
Filed under: uncultured bacterium
Lineage: Bacteria
Description: partial 16S ribosomal RNA
Rfam family: Bacterial small subunit ribosomal RNA
Source: RNAcentral
GACGAACGCUGGCGGCGUGCUUAACACAUGCAAGUCGAACGGAAAGGCCCUGCUUGCAGGGUACUCGAGUGGCGAACGGGUGAGUAACACGUGGGUGAUCUGCCCUGCACUUCGGGAUAAGCCUGGGAAACUGGGUCUAAUACCGGAUAGGAGCCAUUUUUAGUGUGAUGGUUGGAAAGUUUUUUCGGUGUAGGAUGAGCUCGCGGCCUAUCAGCUUGUUGGUGGGGUAAUGGCCUACCAAGGCGGCGUCGGGUAGCCGGCCUGAGAGGGUGGACGGCCACAUUGGGACUGAGAUACGGCCCAGACUCCUACGGGAGGCAGCAGUGGGGAAUAUUGCACAAUGGGCGCAAGCCUGAUGCAGCGACGCCGCGUGGGGGAUGACGGCCUUCGGGUUGUAAACUCCUUUCGCUAGGGACGAAGCUUUUUGUGACGGUACCUAGAGAAGAAGCACCGGCUAACUACGUG